GACGAACGCUGGCGGCGUGCUUAACACAUGCAAGUCGAACGGAAAGGCACUGCUUUUGUGGGGUGCUCGAGUGGCGAACGGGUGAGUAACACGUGAGUAACCUGCCCUUGACUUUGGGAUAACUUCAGGAAACUGGGGCUAAUACCGGAUAGGAGCUCCUGCUGCAUGGUGGGGGUUGGAAAGUUUCGGCGGUUGGGGAUGGACUGGCGGCUUAUCAGCUUGUUGGUGGGGUAGUGGCUUACCAAGGCUUUGACGGGUAGCCGGCCUGAGAGGGUGACCGGCCACAUUGGGACUGAGAUACGGCCCAGACGCCUACGGUAGGCAGCGGUGGGGAAUAUUGCACAAUGGGCGGAAGCCUGAUGCAGCAACGCCGGGUGCGGGAUGACGGCCUUCGGGUUGUAAACCGCUUUCGCCUGUGACGAAGCGUGAGUGACGGUAAUGGGUAAAGAAGCACCGGCUAACUACGUG
Molecule: ribosomal RNA, 468 nt
Filed under: uncultured bacterium
Lineage: Bacteria
Description: partial 16S ribosomal RNA
Rfam family: Bacterial small subunit ribosomal RNA
Source: RNAcentral